AGCCCUGUAGCGCAUUAGAUAGUGCGUUGGACUUCUAAUCCAAAGGUCAUGGGUUCGAAUCCCACCAGGGAAUAGCCUA
Non-coding RNA from Trichonephila clavipes, 79 nucleotides. NCBI's taxonomy places the organism in Eukaryota, Metazoa, Arthropoda, Arachnida, Araneae, Nephilidae. The record is from the annotation of a GenBank genome assembly.